UCCUGUCUCAAAAUAAUAAUAAUAAUAAGAGAAAGAAAGAAAUAAUUUUAAAAAACACACAAGGUACCUACAUUGGCAAAUUUUACAAAAAUAUAUGACCCUGUGAACACAUCAUCACCUCCAGGGCCAGGGAAUAGUUUGUGCAGAUGAGUGGCCCUGAAUCUCAUGCUUUAUGACUUCCUGGUAAAUCCACCUCCGCAUCUACACGUGAGAAUCAUGUUGCUUCCCUGAGAAGAACAGAGUGAGGCAAGAGCAAAAUACUGUAUUAAUCCAAUCAGACCUAAAAUGAAUCCUGCCCUUUUACAGAGGAACAGAGGAGGAAACUGGGGUUCAGAGAGGACAAGUAACACCCAACAUCACAUAUACAAUCAGUGUUAGAAUCUGCUUCCUUUAACUUCAAUUUUCAGACUGGUAUUUCUGUGCUAUUUCCCAGGAAAGCUUGUAAAACCAGAGGAAACAAUAGGAGUAAAUAUGUUACAGUCUGUUUUUCCUUAUAGAGGUACUGUAUACACACAGCCAACAAGGAGGACAUAGCCAACCCAGUAGAAUCUGAGAGAGGAUGACUGAGAGAUUUUGCAUCAUCUGAUCCCUUCCCUCUUUCCUGUUUUCAGAGGCUUACGAGGUGUG
This 627-nucleotide long non-coding RNA is filed under the name Homo sapiens (human). RNAcentral describes it as "non-protein coding lnc-AKAP11-3:1". Lineage: Eukaryota; Metazoa; Chordata; Mammalia; Primates; Hominidae. The record is from RNAcentral.